RNAcentral lists this ribosomal RNA (253 nucleotides) under uncultured bacterium. RNAcentral's name for it is "partial 16S ribosomal RNA". It matches the Rfam family "Bacterial small subunit ribosomal RNA", at positions 524 to 776 of the family's 1533-position model. The record is from RNAcentral.
UACGUAGGGUGCGAGCGUUGUCCGGAAUUAUUGGGCGUAAAGAGCUCGUAGGCGGCUUGUCGCGUCGGAUGUGAAAGCCCGGGGCUUAACCCCGGGUCUGCAUUCGAUACGGGCAGGCUAGAGUUCGGUAGGGGAGAUCGGAAUUCCUGGUGUAGCGGUGAGAUGCGCAGAUAUCUGGAGGAACACCGGUGGCGAAGGCGGCAUCCUGGACCAAUUCUGACGCUGAGGAGCGAAAGCCAGGGGAGCAAACGGG